This 222-nucleotide long non-coding RNA is filed under the name Setaria italica (foxtail millet). RNAcentral describes it as "long non-coding RNA (SITA_LNC003270)". Lineage: Eukaryota; Viridiplantae; Streptophyta; Magnoliopsida; Poales; Poaceae. The record is from RNAcentral.
GCCCUGGACUUGUUCCCGCAGUUGGAUUCCUGCCCCUCUGACUACUUUGGUGUGUUCCAUUUUAGGCUGGGACUUUACUCUAAAAAACUUCCUAAAGAGUUGGAAGUGUGGCUGGAUUUCAAGGAAAGCUUCGCACAAGUGCACAAAAUAGCUACGUGCUAUAUUGAGUUGGGGUUGAAGUGGACUAGCUCCAAAUUGUAGUACCUCAGCAACCCACAAAAG